RNAcentral lists this ribosomal RNA (273 nucleotides) under Triticum aestivum (bread wheat). RNAcentral's name for it is "partial small subunit ribosomal RNA". Lineage: Eukaryota; Viridiplantae; Streptophyta; Magnoliopsida; Poales; Poaceae. The record is from RNAcentral.
AUGGUAUUUGGAGACUUUAAUGAGAUCCUUUUCGCUCAUGAGAAGGAGGGGGGAGCGGUGCGGGAGCAGCGCCUAAUGCAAGGUUUCAGAGAUGCUUUGGACUGUAAUCUGGACGAUAUGGGAGCGUUGGGGGACAGUUUUACGUGGAGCAGAGGGCGGAUAAAGGAGCGAUUGGACAGAGCUGUGUGUAACUCCCGAUGGAAUAUUUCGUUCCCACAUGUGGGAGUGCUGAAUGGUGAAAUGACAAAAUCGGACCAUCGACCCUUGGUGUGA